CAGAGGAAACUCUUGUGGAGGUCCGAAGCGCUUCUGACGUGCAAAUCGAUCGUCCGACCCAGGUAUAGGGGCGAAAGACUAAUCGAACCAUCUAGUAGCUGGUUCCCUCCGAAGUUUCCCUCAGGAUAGCUGGCGCUUGUUGCCGAGACCAGUCACACCUGGUAAAGCGAAUGAUUAGAGGCAUUGGGGUCGAAAUGACCUUAACCUAUUCUCAAACUUUCAAUGGGUGUGUCGGAGGCCUUCUGGUCUGAGGCCUCCGGAAGCGAUGAGAGUGCCAAGUGGGCCACUUUUGGUAAGCAGAACUGGCGCUGUGGGAUGAACCAAACGCCGGGGUAAGGCGCCCGAUGCGGGACGCUCAUGAGAUCCCAUGAAGGGUGUUGGUUGCUUAAGACAGCAGGACGGUGGCCAUGGAAGUCGGAACCCGCUAAGGAGUGUGUAACAACUCACCUGCCGAAGCAACUAGCCCCGAAAAUGGAUGGCGCUCUAGUGUCGAGCCUAUCCCCGGCCGCUGCCGGCCUCGGUGAAAGCGAAUUAUUGGAGAGAGCACGGCCUGACGAGAGACGUUUGGCGCCGUUUUAUUCGUUCACCGUGACCACUAUCUCGG
This 604-nucleotide non-coding RNA is filed under the name Ixodes scapularis (black-legged tick). RNAcentral's name for it is "Eukaryotic large subunit ribosomal RNA". It matches the Rfam family "Eukaryotic large subunit ribosomal RNA", at positions 853 to 1454 of the family's 3401-position model. The record is from Rfam by way of RNAcentral. Lineage: Eukaryota; Metazoa; Arthropoda; Arachnida; Ixodida; Ixodidae.